CAACAUAUAAAAAGAGUAACAACUUUCCACGUGCACGAAUAACCCUUCGGCUCCUUGCACUCUACCACUGAGUUAUAUCCCUUGCCUCCAUUGACAAAUAGAACAAUAAUUCAUUAUAUUCUAUUAUUAGUUUAAUAUUCCGCAGUGCAACAUAUAAAGAGCAUUAAAACUUUCCACGUACACGAAUAACCCUUCGGCUCCUUGCACACCUAUGUACCUUUGCAAUCAUUCAAAGCCCCUGCAAUGUUAACUCUUCAGAAACCACAAUUAAGACUACACAGUUGCCAAGCAACCUAACCUUCUGUCAGUUACAGCUUCGGGAAAAUGCAACAAUUUAAUGCCUGUAGUCUACUAUUUCAGCUUCCUACAGCACGCCAAAACAAAGCUUAUCCCACAGAUUUCAUUUCAGGUUUUUUGCAAAGAACGAUCACCUUCACGCCAUCCCUAAAAUGUAACAUCGUCAACGACCUCAAGUAGGACAACUUAUCCAAUUAUGAGGUGAGCCUUCAUCCUACAGUCUAUUUUCGCCUUCCACAAUGACAAGAAUUAUAUAGAAAUACCAUCCUUCUACCAUCAACAAUGGGCACCAACCUACUUGGAGUUAGCCCACUUCAAAUAUGAUGGAGCGAUGUUCAAAAUACGAAUCAGACAGCACCGAGAGAAAUUCUUCUUUGCUGAUGGCCUCAAAAGCUUCAGAAAAGACUUAGCAAUCUACGAGUCCACCACAAUCCUUUUUUUUGGCCUGUGAACAAAAAUGGGUAUUCAACCUCCACUUCACCCCUACACUAGACCAACAAUCAUGCAGCAGACCCCUACUGACAUCCAGAAUGCAUGUCUGGACUAUUGAACUCACACAAGGCCUGCUUGGUGCCCUUGAACCCCUAGUAACGGACAAUAACUACAUUUACGUUACUAUUCAAAUUAUUAUUAAAACAUUAAUUUGAAUUUACGUUUAUGUGCAAAAACUUCCACCUAUGGAAGCAAUACUUCUUAAUUCAUGCGGUCUCCAUAUGACAAUUGUAAGAAGAUUUGGCCCUCCAUUGCAAUGGACUGUCGUCAUCCCUGACGUUGCCAUUGGUGACAAGUAUGUUGUCCAACCAUGGUACCAAAUUCUUGCAGAAGGUGAUUUCAGUCAUAGAGACGAGCUAUUAUUCUACUACAGGCCUCACGAAAAAAUUUGGGAAAUAGUUAUUAGAAAACAAAACAAAGGGACGACAGCGAUAGUGAAUGAAUUUUAAUUCCUAGUUUCUGCAUUCUAAGACAGCGAUAGUAAAUUAAUUUUAAUUCCUUGUUUCUGCAUUCUAAAACAAUGUUCUGUUAGUUUACAUGUUGAACAAUUAUAUUUUUUAAUAUUAAGCUUUUUAACUUUGUUAAUUUUCAUUUUUUUCACCAUUGUUUAGUUAUUAAUAUUCAUCUUUUUUAUGCUUCAACACUGAAUUGCAUUUUAUACCUAUAUUGCAAAUUAAAAAAAUGCGCAA
Glycine soja is the source of this 1478-nucleotide long non-coding RNA. RefSeq lists it as uncharacterized. Lineage: Eukaryota; Viridiplantae; Streptophyta; Magnoliopsida; Fabales; Fabaceae. The record is from RefSeq and is a predicted model, not a curated record. The transcript has 3 exons.